UACGUAGGGGGCAAGCGUUGUCCGGAUUUAUUGGGCGUAAAGAGCGUGUAGGCGGCUUGGUAGGUCCGCUGUGAAAACUCGAGGCUCAACCUCGAGAUGUCGGCGGAAACCACUUGGCUAGAGUCCGGAAGAGGAGAGUGGAAUUCCUGGUGUAGCGGUGAAAUGCGCAGAUAUCAGGAAGAACACCGAUGGCGAAGGCAGGUCUCUGGGCAUUAACUGACGCUGAGGAGCGAAAGCAUGGGGAGCGAACAGG
This 253-nucleotide ribosomal RNA is filed under the name uncultured bacterium. RNAcentral's name for it is "partial 16S ribosomal RNA". It matches the Rfam family "Bacterial small subunit ribosomal RNA", at positions 524 to 776 of the family's 1533-position model. The record is from RNAcentral.